RNAcentral lists this ribosomal RNA (465 nucleotides) under uncultured bacterium. RNAcentral's name for it is "partial 16S ribosomal RNA". It matches the Rfam family "Bacterial small subunit ribosomal RNA", at positions 28 to 507 of the family's 1533-position model. The record is from RNAcentral.
GACGAACGCUGGCGGCGUGCUUAACACAUGCAAGUCGAACGGAAAGGCCCUGCUUGCAGGGUACUCGAGUGGCGAACGGGUGAGUAACACGUGGGUGAUCUGCCCUGCACUUCGGGAUAAGCCUGGGAAACUGGGUCUAAUACCGGAUAGGAGCCAUUUUUAGUGUGAUGGUUGGAAAGUUUUUUCGGUGUAGGAUGAGCUCGCGGCCUAUCAGCUUGUUGGUGGGGUAAUGGCCUACCAAGGCGGCGACGGGUAGCCGGCCUGAGAGGGUGGACGGCCACAUUGGGACUGAGAUACAGCCCAGACUCCUACGGGAGGCAGCAGUGGGGAAUAUUGCACAAUGGGCGCAAGCCUGAUGCAGCGACGCCGCGUGGGGGAUGACGGCCUUCGGGUUGUAAACUCCUUUCGCUAGGGACGAAGCUUUUUGUGACGGUACCUAGAUAAGAAGCACCGGCUAACUACGUG